RNAcentral lists this ribosomal RNA (435 nucleotides) under uncultured bacterium. RNAcentral describes it as "bacterial SSU rRNA". It matches the Rfam family "Bacterial small subunit ribosomal RNA", at positions 29 to 507 of the family's 1533-position model. The record is from RNAcentral.
AACGAACGCUGGCGGCAGGCUUAACACAUGCAAGUCGAGCGAAGCCUUCGGGCUUAGCGGCGGACGGGUGAGUAACGCGUGGGAACGGGCCCUUCUGUGCGGAAUAGUCCCUGGAAAACGGGGUUUAAUACCGCAUACGCCCUUUGGGGGAAAGAUUUAUCGCAGAAGGAUCGGCCCGCGUCUGAUUAGGUAGUUGGUGGGGUAAUGGCCUACCAAGCCGACGAUCAGUAGCUGGUUUUUAGAGGAUGAUCAGCCACACUGGGACUGAGACACGGCCCAGACUCCUACGGGAGGCAGCAGUGGGGAAUCUUAGACAAUGGGCGCAAGCCUGAUCUAGCCAUGCCGCGUGAGUGAUGAAGGUCUUAGGAUCGUAAAGCUCUUUCGCUGGGGAAGAUAAUGACGGUACCCAGUAAAGAAACCCCGGCUAACUCCGUG